CAAGCGAACAAGUGCAUGUGGUGGAUGCCUUGGCGAUCACAGGCGAUGAAGGACGCGGUAGCCUGCGAAAAGCCCCGGGGAGCUGGCAAACAAGCUUUGAUCCGGGGAUGUCCGAAUGGGGAAACCCACUCCGUAUGGAGUAUCCAUGACUGAAUACAUAGGUCAUGUGAAGCGAACGCGGUGAACUGAAACAUCUAAGUAACCGCAGGAAAAGAAAUCAACCGAGAUUCCCAAAGUAGUGGCGAGCGAAAUGGGAUGAGCCUUGUACUCUUUAUUUGUAUUGUUAGCCGAACGCUCUGGAAAGUGCGGCCAUAGCAGGUGAUAGCCCUGUAGGCGAAAACAGUAUGAAAGAACUAGGUGUACGACAAGUAGGGCGGGACACGUGAAAUCCUGUCUGAAGAUGGGGGGACCAUCCUCCAAGGCUAAAUACUCGUGAUCGACCGAUAGUGAACCAGUACCGUGAGGGAAAGGCGAAAAGAACCCCGGGAGGGGAGUGAAAUAGAUCCUGAAACCGCAUGCAUACAAACAGUCGGAGCCUCUUUAUGGGGUGACGGCGUACCUUUUGUAUAAUGGGUCAGCGACUUACGUUCAGUAGCAAGCUUAACCGUAUAGGGCAGGCGUAGCGAAAGCGAGUCCGAAUAGGGCGUUCAGUUGCUGGGCGUAGACCCGAAACCAGGUGAUCUAUCCAUGGCCAGGAUGAAGGUGCGGUAACACGUACUGGAGGUCCGAACCCACUAACGUUGAAAAGUUAGGGGAUGAGCUGUGGAUAGGGGUGAAAGGCUAAACAAACCUGGAAAUAGCUGGUUCUCUCCGAAAACUAUUUAGGUAGUGCCUCGUGUCUCACCUUCGGGGGUAGAGCACUGUCAUGGUUGGGGGGUCUAUUGCAGAUUACCCCGCCAUAGCAAACUCCGAAUACCGAAGAGUGCAAUCACGGGAGACAGACAUCGGGUGCUAACGUCCGGUGUCAAGAGGGAAACAACCCAGACCGCCAGCUAAGGUCCCCAAAUAUGGCUAAGUGGGAAACGAAGUGGGAAGGCUAAAACAGUCAGGAGGUUGGCUUAGAAGCAGCCACCCUUUAAAGAAAGCGUAAUAGCUCACUGAUCGAGUCGUCCUGCGCGGAAGAUGUAACGGGGCUAAGCCAUAUACCGAAGCUGCGGAUGCGUGCUUGCACGCAUGGUAGGAGAGCGUUCCGUAAGCCUGCGAAGGUGCCUUGUAAAGGGUGCUGGAGGUAUCGGAAGUGCGAAUGCUGACAUGAGUAGCGAUAAAGGGGGUGAAAGGCCCCCUCGCCGUAAGCCCAAGGUUUCCUACGCAACGUUCAUCGGCGUAGGGUGAGUCGGCCCCUAAGGCGAGGCAGAAAUGCGUAGCUGAUGGGAAGCAGGUCAAUAUUCCUGCACCGUCGUUAGAUGCGAUGGGGGGACGGAUCGCGGAAGGUUGUCCGGGUGUUGGACGUCCCGGUCGCUGCAUUGGAGAAGGCGCUUAGGCAAAUCCGGGCGCAGGAUUCAAGGGUGUGGCGCGAGCGACUUCGGUCGCGAAGCAAUUGGAAGUGGUUCCAAGAAAAGCCUCUAAGCUUCAGUCUAACGAUGACCGUACCGCAAACCGACACAGGUGGGCGAGAUGAGUAUUCUAAGGCGCUUGAGAGAACUCGGGAGAAGGAACUCGGCAAAUUGGUACCGUAACUUCGGGAUAAGGUACGCCCUUGUAGCUUGACUGGCCUGCGCCAGGAGGGUGAAGGGGUUGCAAUAAACUGGUGGCUGCGACUGUUUAAUAAAAACACAGCACUCUGCAAACACGAAAGUGGACGUAUAGGGUGUGACGCCUGCCCGGUGCCGGAAGAUUAAAUGAUGGGGUGCAAGCUCUUGAUUGAAGUCCCGGUAAACGGCGGCCGUAACUAUAACGGUCCUAAGGUAGCGAAAUUCCUUGUCGGGUAAGUUCCGACCUGCACGAAUGGCGUAACGAUGGCCACACUGUCUCCUCCCGAGACUCAGCGAAGUUGAAGUGUUUGUGAUGAUGCAAUCUACCCGCGGCUAGACGGAAAGACCCCAUGAACCUUUACUGUAGCUUUGCAUUGGACUUUGAACCGAUCUGUGUAGGAUAGGUGGGAGGCUAUGAAACCGGAACGCUAGUUUCGGUGGAGCCGUCCUUGAAAUACCACCCUGGUUUGUUUGAGGUUCUAACCUUGGUCCGUGAUCCGGAUCGGGGACAGUGCAUGGUAGGCAGUUUGACUGGGGCGGUCUCCUCCCAAAGGGUAACGGAGGAGUACGAAGGUACGCUAGGUACGGUCGGAAAUCGUGCUGAUAGUGCAAUGGCAUAAGCGUGCUUAACUGCGAGACCGACAAGUCGAGCAGGUGCGAAAGCAGGUCAUAGUGAUCCGGUGGUUCUGUAUGGAAGGGCCAUCGCUCAACGGAUAAAAGGUACUCUGGGGAUAACAGGCUGAUACCGCCCAAGAGUUCAUAUCGACGGCGGUGUUUGGCACCUCGAUGUCGGCUCAUCUCAUCCUGGGGCUGUAGCCGGUCCCAAGGGUAUGGCUGUUCGCCAUUUAAAGAGGUACGUGAGCUGGGUUUAAAACGUCGUGAGACAGUUUGGUCCCUAUCUGCCGUGGGCGUUGGAUAUUUGAAGGGGGCUGCUCCUAGUACGAGAGGACCGGAGUGGACGAACCUCUGGUGUACCGGUUGUGACGCCAGUCGCAUCGCCGGGUAGCUAUGUUCGGAAGAGAUAACCGCUGAAAGCAUCUAAGCGGGAAACUCGCCUUAAGAUGAGAUAUCCCUGGAGGCUUGACCUCCUUGAAGGGUCGUUCGAGACCAGGACGUUGAUAGGUCGGGUGUGUAAGCGCAGUAAUGCGUUCAGCUAACCGAUACUAAUUGCCCGUAAGGCUUGAUCC
RNAcentral lists this ribosomal RNA (2878 nucleotides) under Burkholderia multivorans. RNAcentral's name for it is "bacterial LSU rRNA". It matches the Rfam family "Bacterial large subunit ribosomal RNA". Lineage: Bacteria; Pseudomonadati; Pseudomonadota; Betaproteobacteria; Burkholderiales; Burkholderiaceae. The record is from RNAcentral.